GACGAACGCUGGCGGCGUGCUUAACACAUGCAAGUCGAACGGAAAGGCCCCUUUGGGGGUACUCGAGUGGCGAACGGGUGAGUAACACGUGAGUAACCUGCCCUUGACUUCGGGAUAACUUCAGGAAACUGGGGCUAAUACCGGAUAGGAAUCCUUGCUGCAUGGUGGGGGUUGGAAAGCUUCGGCGGUUUUGGAUGGACUCGCGGCUUACCAGCUUGUUGGUGGGGUAGUGGCUUACCAAGGCUUUGACGGGUAGCCGGCCUGAGAGGGCGACCGGCCACAUUGGGACUGAGAUACGGCCCAGACUCCUACGGGAGGCAGCAGUGGGGAAUAUUGCACAAUGGGCGGAAGCCUGAUGCAGCAACGCCGCGUGCGGGAUGACGGCCUUCGGGUUGUAAACCGCUUUCAGCAGGGGCGAAGCUUGUGGUGACGGUACCUGCAGAAGAAGCACCGGCUAACUACGUG
This 465-nucleotide ribosomal RNA is filed under the name uncultured bacterium. RNAcentral's name for it is "partial 16S ribosomal RNA". It matches the Rfam family "Bacterial small subunit ribosomal RNA", at positions 28 to 507 of the family's 1533-position model. The record is from RNAcentral.